Molecule: transfer RNA, 74 nt
Filed under: Candidatus Roizmanbacteria bacterium CG10_big_fil_rev_8_21_14_0_10_45_7
Lineage: Bacteria; Candidatus Roizmaniibacteriota
Description: tRNA-Glu
Rfam family: tRNA
About the family: Transfer RNA (tRNA) molecules are approximately 80 nucleotides in length. Their secondary structure includes four short double-helical elements and three loops (D, anti-codon, and T loops). Further hydrogen bonds mediate the characteristic L-shaped molecular structure. tRNAs have two regions of fundamental functional importance: the anti-codon, which is responsible for specific mRNA codon recognition, and the 3' end, to which the tRNAs corresponding amino acid is attached (by aminoacyl-tRNA synthetases). tRNAs cope with the degeneracy of the genetic code in two manners: having more than one tRNA (with a specific anti-codon) for a particular amino acid; and 'wobble' base-pairing, i.e. permitting non-standard base-pairing at the 3rd anti-codon position.
Source: RNAcentral
GCCGUCAUCGUCUAGAGGCCUAGGACGACACCCUUUCAAGGUGUAGACCGCGGGUUCGAAUCCCGCUGGCGGCA